UGCAUUUCUUGCACUACUUUUUAUCUGACUGAACUUUCAUCACUGCCUUAUUUGAUUCAUCAUUUCUUUGCCAUAGGGCGAGUCUCGUGCCUGUAGAUGGUACGGAGAUACGACUGCGCGAGAUUGGUACGACGAGCUCCCUGUAGGAGUUUGUGAUAUUGUGGACGAGACUGGCUUCGGCCUUUUCUGCUCUAGCUUGACGCGGGUCAUUGCUAGCCGUCCUCUUUUGGGAGCACUAGUCGAGAGGUGGUGGGACACCACCAACUUCUUCCACUUCUCCACUACCGGGGAUAUGACGAUGACUUAUUACGACUUCGCUAUGACCACUGGCUUAGGAGUAGGGGGUGAUUUGAUCCCUUUCAACAGACAUGGGGAAGUGGAAGGCCGCCUGGAUCGAGUUGCUAGGAGCACGCCCAUCUUUGUACCGGACAUAUAUGGUCAAAUAUAGCUGGUUCGCUGAGUAGUUCAGAGGGAGCGAGCCAGUGACAUUAGAAGAGAUGGAGUAGUACGCCAGAGGCUUUCGGAUGUUCAUCCUCGGUACUACCUUGUUCUUGAACAGGUGGAAUACCGUGGGCUUGUAUCUGCUGAGUGCCCUGGUGACCCUUCCUCGGGUAUGUUUCUAUGAUUGGGGCAGAGCUGACCUCGCCACCCUGUACGGCUAUAUGAGCUCUACCUCCCGCUUGAGGGGAGAGCUAAUCGGAGGCUACGUACGAGCUUGGGAGCUGUGGGUGUAUUCUUAUUUCCCUACUCUUGCCCUAGAGCCCAUGAAGGAGCUCCUACUGGUAGUCCCUUACUCGAGGCGGUAUGAUGGUAGGUGUCAGCGUAGGACUCGCGAGACCUUCGUAUUCUUCCGGCACUAUUUCGACGCAGUGGCUGCCCACGAGAUCAUGUGGCAGCCCUGGGCCAUGAUGCUGGCUGGGAUAAGGGACCAGUACACCGGGGCUUGGGCCACUUCUCGUUUCCACAUUCUACUUGAGGGCCCAGUCUGCCGGGCCUGGUUCCUGAGUGAGCGGUUCGUUCGUCAGACCGUGGGCUUGUCAGACCCGAUCACUCCGAUGCCACCACCAGAGUCCAUGAGAUCAGGAAAACAGCCUAUCUGUUGAUGCAGUCACUCAGUUUAUAGUGGGCUUGGAUGCUGAUUAUUUCAGGUAGAGGGCGACUAUGCGACCUUUAUUCAGACGCACCUCAUGCCACUUCUAACAGGUGCUCGUGGAGGCGAGGGGGCAAGGGCUCUUGUAGCGAGAGAGGCGCGUAGGGCGACUAGGGCUCGUGCUAGAAGGGUUCCUCGUGAGGGGCAGAUGACCCGUUGGCUAGAGCUUCCUACCACGCUUACAUGUUGAUGGCAUACCGGGGCUGCUUACUAGAUUCCAAUCGAGUCUGUAGCAGCUGAUCAUGAGCUUGUCGGGGUUUGAGGCUCGACUAAGGCAUCCAUAGAAGACACAAGGGGCACUCUCGAGUUGAUAGCUUCUCUGAUGGGCAUGGUACAGAGGAGAGAGACGCUGCUUGGCCUCUACGAUAUCCUGAUCCCAGCUAUACUGGGUGCACUGGCGGCGGCAGCAACACCAGUACCAACAGUAUCCCCUCCAGCAGCAGGGGGAAGAGGCAGAGAUAGGGGUACCCGGGGCUAGAGCAGUCCUCCAGAGCCCAUCUUAAGCAAUGACGAUGCUGAGACUAGUGACUCUGGGGAGGCAGUGAGUUGGCAUUCCGAGUCAUCCGAGAGUGGAGACGAUGCCGCAUUGGUUCCGAGAGCGGAGGUGAUGAUGCCGAGACGGGUUAAGGGGUAGAGAGCAGAGAUGAUGCCAGCUCUGGUUCUGGUUUAGAGGCAGAUUCAAAGUGCGAUGUUGAUAGAGAUAGUGCCCCAGAGUCCUCUCCUCCGAGGAAGAGGACGAAGAGGGCCUCUCAGGCUUGAGGCGACCGGUGCUGAUUUUUUGUACUUUUGCUUAAUUUCUUUUUGUUUGGUAGCAUUAGCACAUGUAUAGCUUCAAAUAGGUUUAUUUUUCUUUGAAAACUUAUACUAAUCUUUUGUAAAAAAACCAUGAUUGGA
Molecule: non-coding RNA, 2044 nt
Organism: Camellia sinensis
Lineage: Eukaryota; Viridiplantae; Streptophyta; Magnoliopsida; Ericales; Theaceae
Source: RefSeq, a predicted model, not a curated record